CCUACGGGAGGCAGCAGUGAGGAAUAUUGGUCAAUGGGCGGAAGCCUGAACCAGCCAAGUAGCGUGCAGGAUGACGGCCCUACGGGUUGUAAACUGCUUUUAUACGGGAAUAACGCGCCUUACGUGAAGGGCUUUGCAUGUAUCGUAUCAAUAAGGACCGGCUAAGACUGGGUCAGCAGCCGCGGUAAUACGGAAGGUCCGGGCGUUAUCCGGAUUUAUUGGGGUUAAAGGGAGCGUAGGCCGCAUGUCAAGCGUGCUGUGAAAUGUUCGGGCUCAACCCGGGCCUUGCAGCGGAAACUGGCGUGCUUGAGUCCGCGGAAGGAAGGCGGAAUUCGUGGUGUAGCGGUGAAAUGCUUAGAUAUGACGAAGAACCCCGAUUGCGAAGGCAGGUUGCUGCAGCGGAACUGACGCUGAUGCUCGAAAGCGCGGGUAUCGAACAGGAUUAGAUACCCCAGUAGUC
This 460-nucleotide ribosomal RNA is filed under the name uncultured bacterium. Its description in RNAcentral is "partial 16S ribosomal RNA". It matches the Rfam family "Bacterial small subunit ribosomal RNA", at positions 338 to 795 of the family's 1533-position model. The record is from RNAcentral.